ACGGAGGGUGCGAGCGUUAUUCGGAAUUAUUGGGCGUAAAGCGCGCGUAGGCGGGGUGGUAAGUCUGUUGUGAAAGCCCUCGGCUUAACUUGGGAAGUGCCUUGGAAACUGCAUUUCUUGAGUACUCGUGAGGAAGGGGGAAUUUCCGGUGUAGAGGUGAAAUUCGUAGAGAUCGGGAGGAAUACCAGUGGCGUAGGCGCCCUUCUGGACUGUAACUGACGCUGAGACGCGAAAGCGUGGGGAGCAAACAG
RNAcentral lists this ribosomal RNA (251 nucleotides) under uncultured prokaryote. RNAcentral describes it as "partial 16S rRNA". It matches the Rfam family "Bacterial small subunit ribosomal RNA", at positions 525 to 775 of the family's 1533-position model. The record is from RNAcentral.